CUACGGGUGGCUGCAGUGAGGAAUAUUGGUCAAUGGGCGCAAGCCUGAACCAGCCAUGCCGCGUGAAGGAUGACAGCGCUACGCGUUGUAAACUUCUUUUGUACAGGAAGAAACGCUUCUACGUGUAGAAGUUUGACGGUACUGUACGAAUAAGCAUCGGCUAACUCCGUGCCAGCAGCCGCGGUAAUACGGAGGAUGCAAGCGUUAUCCGGAUUUAUUGGGUUUAAAGGGUACGUAGGCGGAAAAUUAAGUCAGUAGUGAAGUCCCGCAGCUUAACUGUGGAACUGUUAUUGAUACUGGUCUUCUUGAAUGUAGUUGGAGUAGGCGGAAUGUGUAAUGUAGCGGUGAAAUGCUUAGAUAUUACACAGAACACCGAUUGCGAAGGCAGCUUACUAAGCUAUGAUUGACGCUGAGGUACGAAAGCGUGGGGAGCGAACAGGAUUAGAUACCCGCGUAGUC
This 459-nucleotide ribosomal RNA is filed under the name uncultured bacterium. Its description in RNAcentral is "partial 16S ribosomal RNA". It matches the Rfam family "Bacterial small subunit ribosomal RNA", at positions 339 to 795 of the family's 1533-position model. The record is from RNAcentral.